GGCAGGACGGCUGGAAACUGCAAAAGUUCUACUGCCCAAAUAGUAAGGUUGGGGCCAGGAUGUUGGAAAAAAAAAUUUAAGCUUCUAAGGUGGUGGUGGUGGCUUUCUCCCACCUGACUUACAGUGGUGCAGUACUAAGUCUGUAGGAGAUGAUGCUCUCUCUGUGGAAUUUCUUGGAAAUUCUCUCCUUGCCCUAGAGACAGGUUACUUUCUUUUUUUUUUUCAGACCAUAGUUCCACCUGGAACUGUUUCCAGAAUGCCGUGCCUGAGAAGCUUCAUGGAUCCUAAGCCUGCCCCACAGGAAGACCAGCUGCUUUCAAAUGAGUCCAGAAUAGUAGUUGCCCACUCUUUUCACAGUCACCAUCAGAGAAGCAGCCCCUCCUGUGCGUUCCAGGGUCUCUGUCUAAACCCUAUAAGACAGAGAAUGAUUUUUAAGGAAUGGUUUCCAGAUUCUGGCUGUUCCAAGUGGCAACUUGUUUCAGCCUACCAUACAUGAUUAAUGAAGUCAUCACAUCACACAAUGUGUGAAGAGGUGAAUGAGAUAUCACUGGUUUGUACCACCCUUCUUCUCCCCUCUAUUUGUCCGCAUUAAGGUUGCCCAGCCCUAGCCCUCCUUAUGCUGCUCAGAUGGGCCUUUUCUGAGCUCUGGGAGAGCCUACAGCUACCUGCCACUUCUCUCCUGUCCUGUCCAAGCUCAUUUUGGCUACUCACUUCAGUUUUGGGCAACUCAUGG
RNAcentral lists this long non-coding RNA (733 nucleotides) under Ornithorhynchus anatinus (platypus). Its description in RNAcentral is "lncRNA (ENSOANG00000034130.2)". Lineage: Eukaryota; Metazoa; Chordata; Mammalia; Monotremata; Ornithorhynchidae. The record is from RNAcentral.